UUGUUGGUGAGGUAACGGCUCACCAAGGCGACGAUCGGUAGCUGGUCUGAGAGGAUGAUCAGCCACACUGGGACUGAGACACGGCCCAGACUCCUACGGGAGGCAGCAGUGGGGAAUAUUGGACAAUGGGCGCAAGCCUGAUCCAGCCAUGCCGCGUGAGUGAUGACGGCCUUAGGGUUGUAAAGCUCUUUCGCCAGGGACGAUAAUGACGGUACCUGGAUAAGAAGCCCCGGCUAACUUCGUGCCAGCAGCCGCGGUAAUACGAAGGGGGCUAGCGUUGUUCGGAAUCACUGGGCGUAAAGCGCACGUAGGCGGAUCUUUAAGUCAGGGGUGAAAUCCCGAGGCUCAACCUCGGAACUGCCUUUGAUACUGGGGAUCUCGAGUUCGGGAGAGGUGAGUGGAACUGCGAGUGUAGAGGUGAAAUUCGUAGAUAUUCGCAAGAACACCAGUGGCGAAGGCGGCUCACUGGCCCCGAUACUGACGCUGAGGUGCGAAAGCGUGG
RNAcentral lists this ribosomal RNA (502 nucleotides) under uncultured bacterium. RNAcentral's name for it is "bacterial SSU rRNA". It matches the Rfam family "Bacterial small subunit ribosomal RNA", at positions 246 to 764 of the family's 1533-position model. The record is from RNAcentral.